GCACAAGCGGUGGAGCAUGUGGUUAAUUCGAUGCAACGCGAAGAACCUUACCUAGACUUGACAUCCCGGGAAUUCUUAGGAACUAAGAAGUGCCUUUCGGGGAGCCCGGUGACAGGUGCUGCAUGGCUGUCGUCAGCUCGCGUCGUGAGAUGUUGGGUUAAGUCCCGCAACGAGCGCAACCCCUAUCCUCAGUUGCCAUCAUUAAGUUGGGCACUCUGUGGAGACUGCCGGUGUCAAACCGGAGGAAGGUGGGGAUGACGUCAAGUCCUCAUGGCCCUUAUGACCAGGGCUACACACGUGCUACAAUGGCCGGUACAAAGAGUUGCGAUACCGCGAGGUGGAGCUAAUCUCAUAAAGCCGGUCUCAGUUCGGAUUGGAGUCUGCAACUCGACUCCAUGAAGUUGGAAUCGCUAGUAAUCGCGGAUCAGCACGCCGCGGUGAAUACGUUCCCGGGCCUU
This 458-nucleotide ribosomal RNA is filed under the name uncultured Geobacter sp. RNAcentral describes it as "bacterial SSU rRNA". It matches the Rfam family "Bacterial small subunit ribosomal RNA", at positions 923 to 1382 of the family's 1533-position model. Lineage: Bacteria; Pseudomonadati; Thermodesulfobacteriota; Desulfuromonadia; Geobacterales; Geobacteraceae. The record is from RNAcentral.